GUCGAACUUUUAUUGGUAUUUAUAAGAGCAACAAGGGAAGGUAAUUGGGAACUUCAUUUGGCAUGUGUUGAAAAAAUGUUACCAUGGUUUUUCGCAUAUGACGUCAAAACUAUUCCCGAUACAUGUCAGUCUAUUUGCUUCAUAUGCAAAAUCUGCCAAAUACAUAUCCUGAUGCCCAUGUAUAUCUUUCAUCUGGUGGUUUUUGUGUUCAGAGAAGCUCUCAUGGAUUUUCUAGAUCUCCAGUUGACCAAACAAUCGAGCAAACGUUGAACAGAGAUACCAAAACAAGAGAUGGCAUUGUUGGUUUCAGUUUGAAUAAAGGUUCUGUUAAACGUUGGUUGCUAAAUGCACAUGAAAGAGCUUCAAUAUCAUCAAAAUGUCGAGAUUUGGCAUGAAU
This 397-nucleotide long non-coding RNA is filed under the name Mytilus galloprovincialis (Mediterranean mussel). Lineage: Eukaryota; Metazoa; Mollusca; Bivalvia; Mytilida; Mytilidae. The record is from RNAcentral.